This is a non-coding RNA of Theobroma cacao (cacao), 1470 nucleotides long. Lineage: Eukaryota; Viridiplantae; Streptophyta; Magnoliopsida; Malvales; Malvaceae. The record is from RefSeq and is a predicted model, not a curated record.
AUAAUAAGAAGGCAGUGAAGAACGAGAGAGAGAGACGACCAGUUCAGGCGCUCCCUUUCCUCAAGGCUUAUCUAGAUCUUCCCCAAAGACCAAAAGCCUUUGUGUAUAAGCUAAGCAAAACACUGGAACCCACUUUGCUUCUCCAUUCCUUAUGACCCCUCCAUUUAUUUUUGUAUAAAUACCGGAACCUAGUUCUCCACAAUUUCUCACUUUUCUUUCUUGUUCAUAUGUUGUUUUACAGUUGAUUCUCAUUUAUCAUGAGCAACGUUCCAAGGUCUUUAACAGACUCCUCUUUAACCCUUUUCAAGCUCGCCAUUUCUGCUUCUGAUCCCUGGCCUUUCUCUCUUGUUUUCUUAUAACCUUAAUUUCGAGAAACCAAAGCUCUCCUGUUUUUAACAAGAACUAUAAGGUUUUUUCUUUUCCUUGUUUCUUCUUGCUUAAUUUGGGGGUAGUUUGCUGAAGAAAAAUUAUGAGAAGUGGAGACAAACACCACGUGAAUUUCCACCUUCAUAUGCCGCACCUUCACAGCUUUCAUCACCAUGAAAAGAAGGACCUGAAAGAUAUUCCAAAGGGGUGUCUGGCAAUCCUGGUAGGUCAAGGGGAGGAGCAACAAAGGUUUGUGAUCCCAGUGAUCUAUAUCAACCACCCGCUCUUCAUGCAGCUUUUGAAGGAAGCCGAGGAAGAGUACGGAUUCGAUCAGAAGGGCCCCAUCACCAUCCCUUGCCACGUGGAGGAGUUCCGCAAUGUUCAAGGCAUGAUCGAUAAAGAACAGCACCAGCAUCAUCACCAUCACCACUACCAUCACAACCACCACCACGACCAUCACAACCACCACCACGUCUGGUGUUUUAGGGUGUGAAUUUGACCGAUUCUGAAAAGUCAUGUAAAUUUGUUUUUAAGUUUCUCUAGUUUUUGCUUUUUCUUUUCCAUUCUGGCAUUGCAGAGAUCUUGCUUUGUAGAUGAUGGCGACAAAAAAGAAAGAUGAAUGACAAGAUUCUUCCCACAUAAAUUUCACUAAUUUGGUUUACUUUGCUUUUGUUGUUUUUGCUUUCCAACUUUCUUGCUAAUGUGAACGCAUCAAAAAGCAUGGAAUCGUUACGUUAUGGAGGGUGUAAAAACUGAGAACAACGUAAAGUUGCAGACGUACAAGACACGGUGGGAACUUGGAAUGGGGCAAAGGGUUUUCUUUGUGGCCGUUGGAUUUGUUUUGCUUUUGGAUCGUUUUGAUUAUGGUGGGUAUAGCUUGCCCCAGAAAUUUCAAACCUUUCAGGUUUCGGAGGCUGGGAUAUUUCUGCGGUUUCAUCUAUAUUAGCACAAAAAUACAAAAGGGAAAUUGUUUGUUUGAAGACUUGUCGUGCGUUUGGAAAUCUGUCAAUUAAGUAGUACAACUAUGUUAUCUUCUUUUAUUUUAUGUAAACAAGUGGGAAAAUUCAUUAAUUUAUAUCAAGAAAAAGUGACAUUUAACUAUUA